This 72-nucleotide transfer RNA is filed under the name Marmota marmota marmota (Alpine marmot). It matches the Rfam family "tRNA". From Rfam's summary of the family: Transfer RNA (tRNA) molecules are approximately 80 nucleotides in length. RNAcentral also lists the same sequence under 1 other name. The record is from Rfam by way of RNAcentral. Lineage: Eukaryota; Metazoa; Chordata; Mammalia; Rodentia; Sciuridae.
GGGAAUAUAGCUCCAUUGGUAGAGUGCUUGCCUUGUAUGCACAAGGCCCUGGGUUUAAUCCCCAGUACCUCA